GAUGAAGAACGCAGCGAAAUGCGAUAAGUAAUGUGAAUUGCAGAAUUCAGUGAAUCAUCGAAUCUUUGAACGCACCUUGCACCCUUUGGCAUUCUGAAGGGUAUGCUCGUUUGAGUGUCAUUGUACUCUCACACUCCCGAUCUUUGCAUUGGGAGCAGUGGACUUGGGUUUGCUGCUUCACCGUCGCUUACCUCAAAUAGGUUAGUGCAACUCUUGGUUGGACAUAGUACGGCGUGAUAAGUGUUCUUCGCCGGUGCCUCGCAAAGAGGGUGGCCGAUCGGGAUGUUGUGCUCCAAACCGUCUUCGGACAAUCUCUGACGACUUGACCUCAAAUCGAGUAAGACUACCCGCUGAACUUAAGCAUAUCAAUAAGCGGGGA
This 379-nucleotide unclassified non-coding RNA is filed under the name soil metagenome. Its description in RNAcentral is "partial contains 5.8S ribosomal RNA, internal transcribed spacer 2, and large subunit ribosomal RNA". The stretch from base 1 to 120 matches the Rfam family "5.8S ribosomal RNA", at positions 35 to 154 of the family's 154-position model. The record is from RNAcentral.